Molecule: long non-coding RNA, 2142 nt
Organism: Rhinopithecus roxellana (golden snub-nosed monkey)
Lineage: Eukaryota; Metazoa; Chordata; Mammalia; Primates; Cercopithecidae
Exons: 4
Source: RefSeq, a predicted model, not a curated record
UCUCGGGAUGGGUGGUCACCUUUGCUUGCUGAGCUUCGCGCCCUGCGUCCUCUGGUCUCCAGCAACUUGCAGUGCAGCCGUCCCGCAUGAGGCCCUCCAGCGAAUGCCCUAAAACUCCGGAGUUGCCUCGGAGGAAAGCAGGCUUGCCCUGAGAGUCCACGUCCUUACUGCCCGUGCCGUCGUGGUGCCUUGAGGGCACCCUUCUGGGAAGAUCCUUGCAGAGGCCAUGUCCCCUCUCCACGACAUCUAAGCCCAGUCCCAACUUGCUUUUCACGCCUGUCCCCCCGGGGAACGUCUGCUGGACCUCAGGACAGCCCCUCAGCCCCGUGCAUUCCCGAGGUGAAUCUGCAGCGAAGCCUCUGUGGUGACUCACAGUUGCUAGCAUUGGUUAUUCUUCUUCCUGGCAGAAGGCGGCAGGCUGAUGCUGGCCCCGUUCCUGUGUGUCUGACAAAUCACAAAUGUGAAUUCAGAUCGUCACAGCUGAGUCACGCUCAGGAUUUCCAUGAGCCCUGCUGGGGUGGCCAGCUGAACUUCCUUCCCCACAGCCCCCCUCCAGCUCUGCAGCACCAGGCACCAGUGUGACUCAUGGGGGCCUGUGGAAGCCGGGGCUGCUCAGUGGGGCUGAGUCUAGGAGGGGGAGAGAGAAAGGGAGCCCAGCAACAAUUACAGCGCAAACGCCGCAGCUGUCACCACCGAGUGCCUCCAGUUGGGUACGGGUUUGUGAAAUUCAUUACCCUAUGAGAUGAGUUUUAUCUCUGUUUCACUCAAGAGGAUUCUGAAGCUCAGGAGGUUGUGGAUGACUCCGGGAAGCACAGCUGAGUUGCAAACACACUGACAGCUCCCGAAUGAUCUGAUACAGGAUCCUUAAUAGGCGUGGAAGUGUUCGCCAGACAGAGAGGUCCUGCCCUUGCCGAUCUGAGCUGGUUCUGUGUUAGAGACUCCGUGGGCGUCCGUUUGACAGGAUCUGCCAGGAGUGGCAGAAUGACUUUCCUGAUCUGGAAGAGCAAAUCUCAGAUAUUUUGCACAUUUGCAGAACCUACCCCUAGGAGUGGGAGGAGACCACAACCAAAGAAUCAAAUGGAGACACAGAAUAUCAGAUGAACAGCAGCUACACAGGAGUUCAAAGAGAUGCUGCUCCCAGACUCAGGAAGUGCACCACUAGGCCGGUCCAUGGACAGUCUUCUGAGCAUGGGGCCCUCUCAGAAAUAGAGGCUGUUUCAAGAAUUCUAUAGACACUGCAUUUAUUGGGCAACUGGCAAGCUGAUGUCCCACCUAGUGGUCAGUGGGAGGUAGCCCAUUUCAAGAAGAGAUAAGAAGACUGCGUAAUAUCUUCUGCUGGGCAGAGCCUGAAGAACUGUCAGCUCACCCCAUUCUCUCCAUUUACAGAGGCCUGGGCACGUACAGCACAAGCGUGAGGCAUGACAGCCGCAGCAUGCAAUGUCCCCUGGCAAUGAGGGUGGGACUGGUGAGCAUCACUCUCCUGGAGAGAGAAAGAAAGUCAUGAGAUUAAGAGGCAUACCUUUGAAUGGUUUCCCUAAAAUAUAAAAUAUUUCAAAUACACAGAAAAGUUUAUAACACACAACACAUUCCCCACCCAACUCCCUUGAGUGCUAACAUUUUGUCACACUUGCUUUCUAUUUUGUUAAGAAACAAAACAACACACGUCCCAUCAAAGCUCCUGGAACACCCUUCCACGACCCUUUCUCUUCCCUGUCUUUCACCCAGAGGUAACCAUCAGCUCCAAUUUUGUGUCUACCUUAAAAUUACAAAAUUCAAUUUUGUGGCAUUCAAAAAUUACACUAACAUCCCACGUGUGAAUCCAUCUUUUUGCAUGUUUUCAAAAUUUAUUUUAUUGAUGACAUGCUCUAUGUAUUUUUUCUAUUACGAAUAAUGCAAUGAACUUUCUUGUGCCAUUUUCCCUAUGGAACUUCUGCAAAAGUUUCUCUAUUACUUUGUUACAUGUGGAACUGCUGGAUCAAAGAGCAAAUGUUUUCUUUCCAGAGGUGUUGUACCAAAUUACCCUUCAAAUCUCCAGGGAUAAGAAGUCCUCGUGCUCUCUAUCUGCACUUAUAUUGAGAUUGUUAGUCUUCUAAAUAUUUUCCAUUUGAUGGUUAUGUAAUGACAUUUCAUACUGCUUUGAUU